Molecule: long non-coding RNA, 551 nt
Filed under: Panax ginseng (ginseng)
Lineage: Eukaryota; Viridiplantae; Streptophyta; Magnoliopsida; Apiales; Araliaceae
Description: long non-coding RNA (PGIN_LNC014091)
Source: RNAcentral
CGACGGAACCGCCGUCAAGCUUUCGGUGUUGACUGUGUUUACUGUGCAGGAUCAGGACGUCUUAUGUGAUUGGGACGUGGAGAAAGAUCUUGGCGUUAACAUUGGCGCUAGAAGGAGGGCUUUUUCUAGUGUUUUUGAGUUAUCAAUCACAAUAUUUCCAGUUGUUCUACAUCAGAAGUUACGGCACAAAUCAAGGGGUUCUCGUUCGAGAUCCCACGGCGAAGCCCGAAGAUAGUUGGUCUUUGCUGCUGACAAAGAGCAUGAUCGUGGCCGAAGGCAAGUAAAAGGCAUCCUGCCUAGAACUCGGCACCGAAGUGGUCAGGCUGAUGAAGAUGGUGGACGAAGCAUAUAGAUCUUUGGAGGUCCUACCGGGAGCGGAGCGAGGAUGUAGCUGUGCGGAGCGAGGAUGUAGCUGAGCAGAGCAAGGAUUUGGUUGUGCAGAUUCUUCGGAUUGCCAAGAUGAGGAACAAAGCAUUCAAUUAUGCCCAGUCUGAAAGAUGUGGUACGCCUAAAGAUGGACAACCAUGAGUUGGAAAGCAAUCUAUACACUU